This is a long non-coding RNA of Musa acuminata AAA Group (dessert banana), 977 nucleotides long. RefSeq lists it as uncharacterized. The transcript is spliced from 2 exons. The record is from RefSeq and is a predicted model, not a curated record. Lineage: Eukaryota; Viridiplantae; Streptophyta; Magnoliopsida; Zingiberales; Musaceae.
UUCAAUCUGGUCAUCAAGAUUUGCGUGUCGUGUGCGUACAAACGUCCAAUCGAAGACUUGGGACGGUGCUCCUAUCCCUGGAUAGACGUUACACGAGUCUUCUCUUGUUUCUUCCUCGUAAUUUCUUUUAGAUUACGGAUGAUGUUGCUUUUGUCGUCAAAGCGAAGGGUGUUUGGUUGUCAAAGUCGCCACCUUUGCCCGCAAUCCAUGGUGUUCACGACCGGAAGGGUGUUUGGCAGCUCCUGUUUCCUGACCUCGCGCUUCACAGGCGGUUGAGGGAUUCUAAAUGACGUUUUGGUCAUCCACACCGUCGUCAUAACGCUGGCAUCUUUUUCAACAGCAACACUGUCGUCAAUGAUGUUUUCGCGAGGUUGAGAAUCCCUACUGCGAGUUGGCUUAAUUUUCAUGUCAAAAGUCCGGGGUGGGGGGCGGCAGUAGCUCCUCUAUAAAUAGGUAGCUCGAUCCUCCACUUGUGCCAUCGUCUCAUCUCCUCCUGCUCGCUACUAAUUAAGCUUCUUCCAAGAUGAAGUCCUCGGUUGUGUUCUUCUGCGUGAUCGCGGCCCUGCUCCUCCUCCGCGCCCCGACAUCGGUGGAAGCGGCGACGUGCAACCCAACGGAGCUGACGCCCUGCGCGGCGGCCAUCUUCAACUCUUCGCCGCCCAGUAGUCUGUGCUGCUCCAAGCUCAAGUCUCAGGCGCCUUGCUUCUGUCAGUACCAGAAGAACCCCAGCUUGAGCAGAUACAUCAGCGGGGGACGGAAGGUGGCCGCAGCUUGUGCCGUACCAGUUCCAAGCUGCUGACUCCGCUCGUACCCUCCAAGGAUCUUAUAUAUGCCUACUAUAUCCAUGCAUCGUGGUCAUGAAUAAGAAACACCGUCAGCGGUCAGUGCCCGCGUGACACUCACCGUGAACGUCGAUGUCCGCUAUUUGUUUGUGUCGUUACUUCAGUCAAGAUAUAUGGAGGCCGGCUUUAUGAGUA